Molecule: ribosomal RNA, 990 nt
Filed under: Triticum aestivum (bread wheat)
Lineage: Eukaryota; Viridiplantae; Streptophyta; Magnoliopsida; Poales; Poaceae
Description: partial small subunit ribosomal RNA
Source: RNAcentral
AUGGCAAUCAUUCCUGCAAUGCCGACAAGCACCCCUUUGAACACAAGCACUGGCAACACUCAAGUAGAUCAAACUGCCACCAAUACUGAAGUGAAUCAUGAAACUGAUGACGAAGCACAAUGGGAUGAAGAUGGUGGGCAAUCAGAGAUCAUGGUACCUCAGCCACCGUACGUUGGGCAGAGAUUUGAAUCGUUCGAAGAAGCAAAGGAAUUCUACCAGACAUAUGCAAAGUUCCAUGGGUUUGUGGUCAACACCGAAUACCAUAGGAAGAUUAAGAAAACAAACGAGUACAACAGAGGUGAGAUGAGAUGCCACAAGGCACGAAGGAACAAGAAGGGGAAAGGUGUUGCGCCUGUCGUUCCGGAACAAAAGAGAGGAAUCAUUCUCAAGAUGGAAUGCCCUGUCCGGUAUUCAGAACCUGAGGACCCAGACAAGGGAAGGAACUACUUCGUGAAAGCCUCAAUUGGGCAAGGCGAAUACUACUGCCAAUGCUGCAAGUUUGAACGGGACGACAUUGUGUGCUAUCACAUACUAAAAGUAAUGGACAUGAACGUGGUGACACGGAUGCCCCGCCAUUUCAUAAGGCGGCGAUGGACUUGGGACGCUGAUGACGCGUUGGCGCCGCAAACAACAAACGCAGUUCUGGCUGUGCAUGACGAGAGACCGGAGUCAACCAUGGAAGACGUCAGGCACGUUGUGCUGACAAAGAACUAUGCUGAGCUAAUUGAUGAAGCGUGCAAGAGUGAUGAGAUAACGAGAGUCGCAAAAAAACACAGGAAGGCCCUGAAAAGAGAGCUUGAUGAGAUCAAGAAGAGGAAAGCUGAGGAAGCCUUACACCGGUUCCCCCGCACAUCAAGUGUGCCUUCAUCCACAGGGCCAUCGUCAGAAAACUCGGAGAUAGGAUCUGGAACAGCAAGCACACAAACCCAGGUCAGGAACCUGCCCCAUUCCAUCACAAAGGGGCGUCCAAAAGAGAUAAGAACAUCAUAG